AGUUUGAUCCUGGCUCGAAUGAACGCUGGCGGCAGGCCUAACACAUGCAAGUCGAACGGAGUUAUAUUGUAGCUUGCUAUGGUAUAACUUAGUGGCAGACGGGUGAGUAAUGUAUAGGAAUCUACCUAGUAGUACGGAAUAAUUGUUGGAAACGGCAACUAAUACCGUAUACGCCCUACGGGGGAAAAAUUUAUUGCUAUUAGAUGAGCCUAUAUUAGAUUAGCUAGUUGGUGGAGUAAUAGCCUACCAAGGCAAUGAUCUAUAGCUGAUCUGAGAGGAUGAUCAGCCACACUGGAACUGAGAUACGGUCCAGACUCCUACGGGAGGCAGCAGUGGGGAAUAUUGGACAAUGGGCGAAAGCCUGAUCCAGCCAUGCCGCAUGAGUGAAGAAGGCCUUUGGGUUGUAAAGCUCUUUUAGUGAGGAAGAUAAUGACGGUACUCACAGAAGAAGUCCUGGCUAACUCCGUGCCAGCAGCCGCGGUAAUACGGAGAGGGCUAGCGUUAUUCGGAAUUAUUGGGCGUAAAGGGCGCGUAGGCGGAUUAGUAAGUUAAAAGUGAAAUCCCAAGGCUCAACCUUGGAAUUGCUUUUAAAACUGCUAAUCUAGAGAUUGAAAGAGGAUAGAGGAAUUCCUAGUGUAGAGGUGAAAUUCGUAAAUAUUAGGAGGAACACCAGUGGCGAAGGCGUCUAUCUGGUUCAAAUCUGACGCUGAGGCGCGAAGGCGUGGGGAGCAAACAGGAUUAGAUACCCUGGUAGUCCACGCUGUAAACGAUGAAUGUUAAAUAUGGGAAGUUUUACUCUCUGUAUUACAGCUAACGCGUUAAACAUUCCGCCUGGGGACUACG
Molecule: ribosomal RNA, 843 nt
Filed under: uncultured bacterium
Lineage: Bacteria
Description: bacterial SSU rRNA
Rfam family: Bacterial small subunit ribosomal RNA
Source: RNAcentral